CAUCCACUCAGAGACAUUUUUACUGGAGAUCCUUGAACAUUUCCCAUGUCUCAAAAAGAGAUUCCAAUUCCAUUUGCAAAAAGGAAGACAUCUCAUUCCUGAGUGA
Molecule: small nucleolar RNA, 106 nt
Organism: Dioscorea cayenensis subsp. rotundata (Guinea yam)
Lineage: Eukaryota; Viridiplantae; Streptophyta; Magnoliopsida; Dioscoreales; Dioscoreaceae
Source: RefSeq, a predicted model, not a curated record